GGGCGCGUAGCUCAGGGGUAGAGCAUCUGCCUUUUAAGCAGAGGGUCGGUGGUUCGAUCCCACCCGCGCUCA
Non-coding RNA from Ignavibacteria bacterium RBG_16_36_9, 72 nucleotides. NCBI's taxonomy places the organism in Bacteria, Pseudomonadati, Ignavibacteriota, Ignavibacteria. The record is from Rfam.